This is a long non-coding RNA of Bos taurus (domestic cattle), 601 nucleotides long. NCBI's taxonomy places the organism in Eukaryota, Metazoa, Chordata, Mammalia, Artiodactyla, Bovidae. The record is from Ensembl.
GUGGGUGAAGGCUGGUGAGGGGCAUUUACUCCGGGGAGGAGGGUGUGACCCAGAGGUGUCUUCUUAGGCGGGGAGGUCUUCCAUAAUAACCUGCUUUCCCGAGAGUUUUACCAGUUUUUAGUGGAGAAGGGCACGUUAUGAAAUAAUAGGAGGCUUUAACUCUGAGACUAGCAUGGUUGUCCGACUUCUGCUUUGGAAUAUGACCUCCACGGAGUGGUCUCGCUGCUGUCUAGCACAGUGACUGACAGCCUGGAAGUCUCCAGUCAUGUUUGUGGAAUCAUGAAUGUGCCCUGCCUGUUUAACUGGGCCUCUUCCGGACCCAGGGAUCAAAUACGAGUUUCUUGCGUCUCCUGCAUUGGCAGGUGGAUUCUUCACCACUGUGACGCCUGAGAAGCCCCUCUGGGGAGAAUGAAUACACAAUUUGCUGUUUAUUAUUUAUAGCCCUGUUGUGAGGACAUCAGUAUUGACUGUCUGACAGCUGGGAUUACGGACAAAUCUUUCUUCAGUGCCACCUGUAUUCUGGAAUUGGUAGUUUAGGGUCAGGAUAUGCAUGAUGUAAGCAUUCUAUUAUAAAAUGUGUUGUACUUGACAGAUACAGAAC